AAGGGCCUAAAUGAUUUAACAAAAUAUAGAUUAGUUAUAUUCUGUCCUUGUACCUAACUGUCUCGGUAAAUAUGUUUUUCAAUAAACCAAUCAAUCAUUUUAUCAAACAAUCAAUCAUUCAUCUAUUCCGUCAUCCUAUCUUUCUAUCAGGCAUUCAUAGUAAUAAUAAUAAUAAUAAUGUAUUCAAGUAGUAGUAUGAUGGUCUAGGAACAGGAAAUGAAGUGAUGUCUUUCUUCAAAAACCGGACAGAUAGAAUAAGGUAUAAAUGAAUCUUCAUCUACGAUAACUUUUGAGGAGCUAAAUGAGCUUUGUGCAGGAUCAUUUACAGCGGAUAUUGCUGAAUGUCUUAAAAAAGACAUAAGGUAGGUUUUAGACGACUAUUGGGCGUACCUUAUUAUGUUUCUCUUCAUUUUUUUUCUUUCUAUUUUGUAGAUGGAAGCAGGUUCAGAAUCCUUAUACAGAUCUGGAAACGAACAACAACAAUUGUAGUGUUAAUCCUAACUUUGUGAGAGGAUAUGUUCUCAGACAACAAGGUUAUCCCCAAGGGGGAAUUUUGUUGGGCGACAUCUGGGGAAGGCUGAACCCGUACCAGAAUAUUAGAGCCGAAUCUUGGGUCUCGUGCAAUCUCCUUAUAAUUCCAG
Molecule: long non-coding RNA, 641 nt
Organism: Eurytemora carolleeae
Lineage: Eukaryota; Metazoa; Arthropoda; Copepoda; Calanoida; Temoridae
Exons: 2
Source: RefSeq, a predicted model, not a curated record